UACGUAGGUGGCAAGCGUUGUCCGGAUUUACUGGGCGUAAAGAGCGCGCAGGCGGUCGUUCAAGUCGCGUGUGAAAGCCCCCGGCUCAACUGGGGAGGGUCACGCGAUACUGAUCGACUCGAAGGCAGGAGAGGGUAGUGGAAUUCCCCGGUGUAGUGGUGAAAUGCGUAGAUAUCAGGAGGAACACCAGUGGCGAAGGCGGCUUCCUGGACACCAACUGACGCUGAGACGCGAAAGCGUGGGGAGCAAACAGG
RNAcentral lists this ribosomal RNA (254 nucleotides) under uncultured bacterium. Its description in RNAcentral is "partial 16S ribosomal RNA". It matches the Rfam family "Bacterial small subunit ribosomal RNA", at positions 524 to 776 of the family's 1533-position model. The record is from RNAcentral.